GACGAACGCUGGCGGCGUGCUUAACACAUGCAAGUCGAACGAAGAGCGAUGGAAGCUUGCUUCUAUCAAUCUUAGUGGCGAACGGGUGAGUAACGCGUAAUCAACCUGCCCUUCAGAGGGGGACAACAGUUGGAAACGACUGCUAAUACCGCAUACGAUCUAAUCUCGGCAUCGAGGAUAGAUGAAAGGUGGCCUCUACAUGUAAGCUAUCACUGAAGGAGGGGAUUGCGUCUGAUUAGCUAGUUGGAGGGGUAACGGCCCACCAAGGCGAUGAUCAGUAGCCGGUCUGAGAGGAUGAACGGCCACAUUGGGACUGAGACACGGCCCAGACUCCUACGGGAGGCAGCAGUGGGGAAUCUUCCGCAAUGGACGAAAGUCUGACGGAGCAACGCCGCGUGAGUGAUGACGGCCUUCGGGUUGUAAAGCUCUGUUAAUCGGGACGAAAGGCCUUCUCGCGAAUAGUGAGAAGGAUUGACGGUACCGGAAUAGAAAGCCACGGCUAACUACGUG
RNAcentral lists this ribosomal RNA (510 nucleotides) under uncultured bacterium. Its description in RNAcentral is "partial 16S ribosomal RNA". It matches the Rfam family "Bacterial small subunit ribosomal RNA", at positions 28 to 507 of the family's 1533-position model. The record is from RNAcentral.